This 404-nucleotide ribosomal RNA is filed under the name Fusobacteriota bacterium. RNAcentral's name for it is "Fusobacteria bacterium partial 16S ribosomal RNA". It matches the Rfam family "Bacterial small subunit ribosomal RNA", at positions 355 to 776 of the family's 1533-position model. Lineage: Bacteria; Fusobacteriati; Fusobacteriota. The record is from RNAcentral.
UGGGGAAUAUUGCACAAUGGAGGGAACUCUGAUGCAGCGACGCCGCGUGAGUGAUGAAGGAAUUCGUUUCGUAAAACUCUGUUCUAUGGGAAGAAAAGGACUGUACCAUAGGAGAAAGCUCCGGCUAAAUACGUGCCAGCAGCCGCGGUAAUACGUAUGGAGCGAGCGUUGUCCGGAAUUAUUGGGCGUAAAGGGUGCGCAGGCGGCUUUACAAGUUGGAUGUGAAAUAUUGUGGCUCAACCACAAACGUGCAUCCAAAACUGCAAAGCUUGAGUUAAGGAGAGGUAAGUGGAAUUCCUGGUGUAGCGGUGGAAUGCGUAGAUAUCAGGGGGAAUACCUGUGGCGAAGGCGACUUACUGGACUUAAACUGACGCUCAGGCACGAAAGCGUGGGGAGCAAACAGG